UACGAACUGCGCGAACGUUAUUCGGAAUCACUGGGCUUACAGGGUGCGUAGGCGGCCAUUCAGGUCCGAUGUGAAAUCCCCCAGCUCAACUGGGGAAUGGCAUUGGAAACCGAUUGGCUCGAGUGAGCUAGAGGUGCAUGGAACUUCCGGUGGAGCGGUGAAAUGUGUUGAGAUCGGAAGGAACACCAGAGGCGAAAGCGACUUCCUGGACCAAUACUGACGCUCAUGUGCGAAAGCGUGGGGAGCAAACAGG
This 253-nucleotide ribosomal RNA is filed under the name uncultured bacterium. RNAcentral describes it as "partial 16S ribosomal RNA". It matches the Rfam family "Bacterial small subunit ribosomal RNA", at positions 524 to 776 of the family's 1533-position model. The record is from RNAcentral.